This 363-nucleotide ribosomal RNA is filed under the name uncultured bacterium. RNAcentral's name for it is "bacterial SSU rRNA". It matches the Rfam family "Bacterial small subunit ribosomal RNA", at positions 29 to 415 of the family's 1533-position model. The record is from RNAcentral.
AGCGAACGCUGGCGGCAUGCCUAACACAUGCAAGUCGAGCGCUCCCAGCAAUGGGGGAGCGGCGGACGGGUGAGUAACGCGUAGGAACGUAUCCUGAGGUGGGGGAUAACCCUGGGAAACUAGGGCUAAUACCGCAUGAUGGCGAGAGCCCAAAGAUUUAUCGCCUUGGGAGCGGCCUGCGUCUGAUUAGCUUGUUUGGUGGGGUAACGGCCUACCAAGGCGAUGAUCAGUAGCUGGUCUGAGAGGAUGAUCAGCCACACUGGGACUGAGACACGGCCCAGACUCCUACGGGGGGCAGCAAUUAGGAAUCUUGCGCAAUGGGGCGAAAGCCUGACGCAGCGACGCCGCGUGACUGAUGAAGUC